RNAcentral lists this transfer RNA (75 nucleotides) under Helicobacter pylori. RNAcentral's name for it is "tRNA-Lys". The record is from RNAcentral. Lineage: Bacteria; Pseudomonadati; Campylobacterota; Epsilonproteobacteria; Campylobacterales; Helicobacteraceae.
GGAAUGUUUUAGUUAGGAAUCCCCUUGUUUUUAUCAAGGGGUGGUUCUAGUGUUCCUCGAUCCCUUAAGAUUUUU